RNAcentral lists this long non-coding RNA (378 nucleotides) under Androctonus crassicauda. The record is from RNAcentral. Lineage: Eukaryota; Metazoa; Arthropoda; Arachnida; Scorpiones; Buthidae.
UGGUACGGCCGUGCUGCUCGACUUGGCGGCGGCACUGCCGUGCCUCCAGAUAAUAAUUAGAAUGCUUUAGAGUAUUAACUAUGGUUUAUUUUAUUUUUUUGGCCUAUCACAGCCAUCAGUUCAUUUUGAAUAUUAUGACCAAGGUAAUGAGGCAUAUUGCGGAGUUGGGAUUUUUCAAUGCAAUUAUUGUGUUCCCGCUAAAACAUCAUCAAAUUUUGAAAUACUUUCUAUCAAUUUUUAAAAAUUUCCGUUAUCAUUCUGAAACAACUUUCCUUAUGCCCACUAACAGCUAAAUUUUAUCUGGCUAAAAACUGAAUGACGUAUAUAAUUCUUUCAAUAACUGCCAUUACCUCAUUUUUCACGAACCAUUUGGGCCAC